RNAcentral lists this non-coding RNA (209 nucleotides) under Roseovarius azorensis. The record is from RNAcentral. Lineage: Bacteria; Pseudomonadati; Pseudomonadota; Alphaproteobacteria; Rhodobacterales; Roseobacteraceae.
UAUGACAGGCACAGCUUUGGUCCGGGGAUUCACGUCCCCGGGUAAUAGGGAAUACGGUGCGAUUCGGAUCUCGGAUCAAUUCCGUAACUGCCCCCGCAACUGUAAGCGGCGAGCGAUACCGGCAUAUGCCACUGUCCGCCAACGGACGGGAAGGCCCGGUAGAGCAGCGACCCGCAAGUCAGGAGACCUGCCAAGGUGAUCACCCUAUC